Molecule: ribosomal RNA, 388 nt
Filed under: uncultured bacterium
Lineage: Bacteria
Description: bacterial SSU rRNA
Rfam family: Bacterial small subunit ribosomal RNA
Source: RNAcentral
GACGAACGCUGGCGGCGUGCUUAACACAUGCAAGUCGAGCGGUAAGGCCCUUUCGGGGGUACACGAGCGGCGAACGGGUGAGUAACACGUGGGUGACCUGCCCUCAGCUCUGGGAUAAGCCUGAGAAACCGGGUCUAAUACUGGAUAUGACUCCAUGACGCAUGUUGUGGGGUGGAAAGCCUUGUGCGGCUGAGGAUGGGCCCGCGGCCUAUCAGCUUGUUGGUGGGGUGAUGGCCUACCAAGGCGACGACGGGUAGCCGGCCUGAGAGGGCGACCGGCCACACUGGGACUGAGACACGGCCCAGACUCCUACGGGAGGCAGCAGUGGGGAAUCUUGCGCAAUGGGCGAAAGCCUGACGCAGCGACGCCGCGUGAGGGAUGACGGCCU